Molecule: transfer RNA, 25 nt
Filed under: Agalinis gattingeri
Lineage: Eukaryota; Viridiplantae; Streptophyta; Magnoliopsida; Lamiales; Orobanchaceae
Description: partial tRNA-His
Source: RNAcentral
GGCGGAUGUACCCAAGUGGAUCAGG